AUUACCAACAUUUCUGAAGAUUCCGGUAACUUAGGUAAAUUAACAGUAGCGUUGCAACCAUAGUUACCUUAUAAACAACAAACAUAGACAUACCCAGCUGGCCAUUUCUAAAAGUAACUGCCCUUGUGGGCAUGCCUCUGUCAGAAAGAUAUGGAAACAGUCCACCAAGAAUCAGGUCCUCUGUCAGAAAGAUAUGGAAACAGUCCACCAAGAAUCAGGUCCUCUGUCAGAAAGAUAUGGAAACAGUCGACCAAGAAUCAGGUCCUCUGUCAGAAAGAUAUGGAAACAGUCGACCAAGAAUCAGGUCCUCUGUCAGAAAGAUAUGGAAACAGUCCACCAAGAAUCAGGUCCUCUGUCAGAAAGAUAUGGAAACAGUCCACCAAGAAUCAGGUCCUCUGUCAGAAAGAUAUGGAAACAGUCCACCAAGAAUCAGGUCCUCUGUCAGAAAGAUAUGGAAACAGUCCACCAAGAAUCAGGUCCUCUGUCAGAAAGAUAUGGAAACAGUCCACCAAGAAUCAGGUCCUCUGUCAGAAAGAUAUGGAAACAGUCCACCAAGAAUCAGGUCCUCUGUCAGAAAGAUAUGGAAACAGUCCACCAAGAAUCAGGUCCUCUGUCAGAAAGAUAUGGAAACAGUCCACCAAGAAUCAGGUCCUCUGUCAGAAAGAUAUGGAAACAGUCCACCAAGA
Molecule: long non-coding RNA, 686 nt
Organism: Oncorhynchus keta (chum salmon)
Lineage: Eukaryota; Metazoa; Chordata; Actinopteri; Salmoniformes; Salmonidae
Exons: 3
Source: RefSeq, a predicted model, not a curated record